This is a small nuclear RNA of Equus asinus (donkey), 101 nucleotides long. NCBI's taxonomy places the organism in Eukaryota, Metazoa, Chordata, Mammalia, Perissodactyla, Equidae. The record is from Ensembl.
GCUCACUUUGGCAGGGCGUGUACUAAAACUGGAAGGAUAUGGAGAUUAGCAUGGGCUCUGUGAAGGAUGACACACAAAUUUGCAAAACAUUCUAUAUUUUU